Molecule: small nucleolar RNA, 86 nt
Organism: Ictidomys tridecemlineatus (thirteen-lined ground squirrel)
Lineage: Eukaryota; Metazoa; Chordata; Mammalia; Rodentia; Sciuridae
Source: Ensembl
GGCAGAUGAUGUCUUUUCUUACAAUGGUCUGCAGAUGCCACUGUGGGCAGUGCUGAAAAUGCCACACGUUCAGCUGAUGCCAGUGG